RNAcentral lists this long non-coding RNA (5502 nucleotides) under Sus scrofa (pig). RNAcentral describes it as "lncRNA (ENSSSCG00045006687.1)". Lineage: Eukaryota; Metazoa; Chordata; Mammalia; Artiodactyla; Suidae. The record is from RNAcentral.
UUUUUUUUUUUUUUGGUCUUUUUGCCAUUUCUUGGGCAGCUCCUGGGGCAUAUGGAGGUUCCCAGGCUAGGGGUCGAAUCGGAGCUGUAGCCACCGGCCUACGCCAGAGCCACAGCAACGUGGGAUCCGAGCCUCGUCUGUGACCUACACCACAGCUCACGGCGACGCUAGAUCUUUAACCCACUGAGCAAGGCCAGGGAUGGAACCCACCACCUCAUGGUUCCUAGUCAGAUUCGAUAACCACUACACCACGACGGGAACUCCUGAAGGCUCUUUUUCUCGUCUUGGGCAUAGAGGCCGAGAUACAGAAGAGCUUUAAAGGACCUAAUUUCCCCGAGUGAAUAACAGAGGCAAACGUUAAUGGUAAUGUCAGCACGACCAGUUCUUAACAGUUUCUAUUUUAGGGGUGUGCUCACUGUUGUCCAGUUCUGUGCCUCAAACCAGGAGCAGUAUGUUCAUUCCAAAAAGAAGUCUGAAAAGCUUGGGGAAGCUGAAAAGUACUCCCCCACCCCCUCCCUCGACUCACACCCUCAACUCUCCAUUUGUGGGUAAGUCUCCUCCUGCCACUGCCUCGGAUGGUGGAGAAAACGGAGCUGCUUCCAAGGAAGAUGAACAGCCCAGAGCUGGUCCCUUCUGGUUGGGAGCUGCCCUGCCUUAUUUGAAACAUGGAUCUUACAAGUUGAGCAUCUGAAAGAAACCAGCCAGGCUCCCUUAGGGUCGGCUUUGCCCAGUCCCUAGAACAAAAGCCAGAGCAUUUUGGACAGGAGCAACCUAAACAUGUAUCAAGCAGUCCAAGAGAUGGUCAGUUACACAAACACUUUCAGGCCAAACUGCCUGGCGGAGGGUGGCCGUGGGAAAGCUUUGGUGCCACCUAGUGGCCGCCAUGCGGGAGGGCCAGCAACAGCUCUCUUCCCUGCAGAAGACUCCGCCCUGAUCAACGCGCAGAGGCAUUGCACCUCCACUAAUUAUUCUGUAUUUGAUUAUUUUAUUGCCACAACGUGCUGAGGCAACUGAAAUAACGAUGACAUGAGACGAUGCAAACAGAAAGAGAAAAUCCAGGCUAAAGAAAAAAGAGCCUAGAAAAAACGCCAACCAUGAAGGAAAAUUGCUGCAGAUGAAUUUCCUAGAAGCCAAAGCAAAAAGGGAAAUGUGACCAGCUUAGUGGUUCUCAUUGAUGAUGAGAGAAUCCAGUGACACUGUCUUUUUUUUUUUUCCCUCCCGCAGUUGACUUUUUUUUUUUUUUUUUAAUUUUCCCACUGUACAGCAAGGGGGUCAGAUUAUCUGUACAUGUAUACAUUACAAUUACAUUUUUCCCCCACCCUUUCUUCUGUUGCAACAUGAGUAUCUAGACAAAGUUCUCAAUGCUAUUCAGCAGGAUCUCCUUGUCAGUGACACUGUCUUAUUUCAUUGUAAUUUAGCUUGCCUCAAUGCCCCUUCUCAACAGAAACCAGGUUUUUCUUAGCACAGAUGUCUAAAAUUGCUUUCUCAGAAGGGGGUUUUCAUAAGGGAUUUUCUCUGUAGGGUAGGUGACCAAUUUGGUCCAAGUCGGUAGCUUUCCUGAUUGAAGGAUGGCAUUUCUAAGACCCGGAGGAGAAGACACGGCCACGUGCUUUGUAAAAGCUCCCUGAACAUCUCCAGCUGUAGUGGGAAGAGGGAAAUUUGGCCCUGGGCAGAAAGCAUGCAAGCUGGCUUCCUCCAGUCCGUUGAGACCAGAUCUGCAGAGUUUGGCAAGCAGAGGACAAGUGGUGAGGCAGGCACCCUCCUGGGAGACUCAGGCUCCCACCCACAGUCCUAGCCCACAGCUCCUAGAGGCCCCCUGCAUCCCUGGCUACAGUCUGCAGGUCCAAAGCCAAUCCAAUUCUCUAACCUCACUCCCCACUGGUUAAAAAGGCUUCUGGCACUUCAAAGCCCUUCCAGAGAAGUCAUAAAUUCCCUCAGCCUACCCUCCACUGAGAUUCCUGAAAACUGACAGGAAUUCAGUUCCCUCCACUUGUUUCACUGAUCUGAGUGGAUUUAUUUAUUCAACAAGUAUUUACUGAGUCCCACGAUGGUUUAAAGAAACAGUGCAACAUAUAAAAACUACAUAACAUCUUCAUUUCCACUCACAUGCUGGUAAAUUUGAUAUAAUGCUCACUAACAAUAAUAAUAAAGUUUAAAAUCCAGGAUGCACCAAGUACUGCAUCGUUUGAUCCCUGGGUCAAAUGAGUUGAUAAGCAAACCUCAUAGAACAACUGCAUGUCAGCCAAGGGGACCUGGGACUGAAGGGGAGAAACGUCAUCUCAUCCUCAGGGAACUAACCCUACUCCCAGCCCUCCAGCGACCGCUUUUCAUAGAGUGCCAAGUACCUUUAAAGUACCUAGUAAUUAAAACGAUAAAAAGUAUCAUGGGAGUCCCUAUUGUGGCUCAGCAGGAAUGAACCCAUGAGGAUGUGGGUUCAAUCCCUGGCCUCACUCAAUGGGUUAAGGACCCGGCAUUGCUGUGGCUGUGGUAUAGGCCGGCAGCUGUAACUCUCAUUUGACCCCCUUUUUUGUCUUUUUGCCAUUUCUUUGGGCCGCUCCUGCGGCAUAUGGAGGUUCCCGGGCUAGGAGUGAAUGGGAGCUGUACCUGGGAACCUCCAUAUGCCGUGGGAGCGGCCCUAGAAAAGGCAAAAAGACAACAAAAAAAAAAAGCUCCUGGUGGCUUCCUAUUGCCUCUAGACUACAAAACUCAACUGCCUGUCCCCCAGGUCACAGAGCUCUACAUGAUCUGGCUCUUCCAUCUCUACCCAGCCUCAUCUCCCAUCUGCUCUUUGCCUCCCUGACUCUGCUUCAAUCCCACCAGACUUCUUGGGGCAGGUCCAGGUCCACGGUGGUGGCAGUGAUGGCCAGCGGAAUCAAACGCUGGUGCUGAGUGUGACAGGCUCACGGAAGGCCCCGCGGCUGCCCAUCCCCCUGUCCCCAAACCUUCCUGUUACAACAUUAAGACAUGAAACUUACAACCAACAGAAGCUACACCUUGACUGGCUCGCAGUCAACUAAUAGAAACAAGCCUUUAAACAUACACUUGCCCCACAUCAUGGUCGUAACAGUGACACAAUUAAGAACCAUCCUGUGUUGUCCAGAGGUAGAGACGGGUGGACAAAGACAAUGACCUCUUCCCAAGGACCAGGAAAAGCGUCCUGGAGGAGGAGAAUGCUUGGGACGAUGAGUGAACGCUUUUCACGAUGCUAGAGAAAAGGGACACGGAGGAGUAGCUUUGGUGAAACUGGAAAAGUUGGAAAACAUGGAGGGGAGAAACGCUGCAUCCAGCUCUCACGGUGAGUAAAGAAAUCUCUCAUGAAAGAAACUGACUCAGCAUCACUGCCGAUAGAUAUUGGCCGAACCUCCCUCGGCUGCUGGCGGGAGAGACCGAUGGCGGAGGCCUCGGCGGCUCUAGGGAACCAAGGCAGAGAGAAAUAAGGCAGGAAUUUAACCUUCCUUGGAGAGUCCUUUUUACAACAGCAGGCAACUCAAUGUGCCCCCUGUAUUGCAGGUGACCAGCACAAGAUGCAUCCACUUGAUAGCGGACAUAUUUUCUUGGCUGUCGAUCAAAUUCGCAACGAGGACGAGCUGAUUUUUGUAUGCUGAACGCCUGCCUGAAGGCACAGUGGGUCCUUCCGGACACCUGCUCAUUAUUGCAUAUGGGACCUGAGCGUCAUUCUCCCAGCUGAAGCCACUCCAGCUUUAUGGGCGUCACUUUGCUCUUCCAAAAUACGGUGGCUCCUGUGUACCCGUCUUUUACCACUUGGCCCUUGGUCAGCAAAGAAACCACCCUGCUUCAAGGGACCUCCUGAAAAGGCCACUCCGGUACAUCGCGAUAAAACAAAGAGCUGACAUUGACUGAGAACUCUAUGCACCUGGCCUUGCGCUAAGUGCUUGAUAUACAUGCUCUUUAAGUCCUUUCAUCUUGAGUGUAUGAGGUGGAGUUAUCCCCAUGAUACGCAGGAGGAAACCAGCGAAGAGAGUAAGAAACGGCCACGAUCCCACAACGAGCCAAGAGAAGACUCUCAUCACGUCGUCAUAAAUAAAUUUCCUUUAAAUAAAUCUACUGGGUAUGGUUAAGGGCUAUCAGAACACGUCAAGCUAUACAGACCUGGAACUCUCCCCUAAGGCGUUUACGGCACAGUAGGUUUAAAAAAAUAACAACAUACAAACAUCAUCUCCCAUCCAACCUCACCUCCCAUCCCAACGAGGAGGGAGGUGUGUGACCUAAGUUCUGGGCACCAUUCUCCCGUGGACAAGGGCAGAAUCACUCCCGGGAAAGCAACGGACACACGAGCUGGGUUUUGAAAAGGCGCAAAGAAUAAAAUGUGAGAAUGUCCUUCCAAGCUGAAACAUGUAUUUGGGGGCAGGGGGGCACACCUGCGGCAUAAGGAGGAUCCCAGGCCAGGGGUCAGACUGGAGUCGCAGCUGCCGGCCACAGUCACAGCCACAGCCAGGCAGGAGCUGAGCUGCAUCUGCAACCUAUACCACAGCUACGCUGGAUCCUUAACCCACCAAGCUGAGGCCAGGGAUUGAACCUGCAUCCUCAUGGAUACUAGUUGGGUUCAUUGCUGCUGAGCCGCGACAGGAACUCUCCAAAACAUUUAAGUCACACUCUCCCCAAAGAGGAAUUCUUAAACCAGCAACAUUCAAGGUAACAUUUCAUUAUUAUUUUAUCAUUUAUGAUUUUAUUAAUAAAAUAUUAAUUUAUCACAUUACCUUAUUUGCAUAUGUAAUUGUAAGCACAAUUCACAAGACUCUUCUCAGACACAACUCCUUAAUGAAUCUAAGGGUAAAAAUCUUGUAGAAUUAGGGAGUUCCCUGGUGGUCUAGUGACUGCGACUCAGCGCUUUCACCACUACGGCCUGGGUACCAAGAUCCCAUACCAAGCCAAAGCUAAAGCUGUGGCAAAAAAAAAGGGAGGGGGCGGGGAGAGAGGGGGAAGGAGGAGAGGGGGAGAGAGAGAGAGGAGACAGAAAAUCUGGCAGGAUUAGCAUGUAGCUGUUUGGGACUAAAUUCUUUGUUUGUUUUUGCUUUUUAGGGCCGCACCCACGGCAUGUGGAGGUUCCCAGGCUAGGGGUCUAACUGGAGCUGAAACCGCUGGCCUACACCACAGCCAGGGCCCCUCCAGAUCUGAGCCACGUCUGCGAUCUACACCACAGCUCAUGGCAACGCCAGAUCCUCAACCCACUGAGCAAGCCCAGGGAUCGAACCCACAACCUCAUGGUACCUAGUCGGAUUCGUUUCCGCUGUGCCACGACGGGAACUCAGGGACUAAAUUCAAGUUUCAGAAAUUAUAAACAGAUUCUAUUAAAAUUCCAUCCCUAUGAUUUAAUUACGGGCAUUAUCAAGACUAACAAUAAAGAAGGGUCUCCUAUGAAAUGCGAAAGUUCUGCUUGCAUCAGAUAGAGGCGGGAGUCCGCCAGGGGAAGAGGCUGACUCUGCCUUGGGAAAGCAGUCGGGGCUGUCCACAGGUCACAUACGAAAGGCCUGCUUCUAUGAA